AACGCACCUUGCACUCUUUGGUAUUCCGAAGAGUAUGUCUGUUUGAGUGUCGUGAAACUCUCAACCCCCCUGUUUUGUAAUGAGACGGGCGUGGGCUUGGUUUAUGGCUGUCUGUCGGACCUUACAGUUCGGCUCGGCUGAAAUACAUGAGCGACCACCUUGAUGUGACGGUUGACUCGGCGUAAUAAUCAUAUCUCGCUGAGGACGUCAGUAUCAAUAUCGGCGCUGAUAAUUCAAUCACUUCAAUCUUUGACCUCAAAUCAGUCAGGACUACCCGCUGAACUUAA
RNAcentral lists this unclassified non-coding RNA (287 nucleotides) under uncultured fungus. RNAcentral's name for it is "partial contains 5.8S ribosomal RNA, internal transcribed spacer 2, and large subunit ribosomal RNA". The stretch from base 1 to 52 matches the Rfam family "5.8S ribosomal RNA", at positions 103 to 154 of the family's 154-position model. Lineage: Eukaryota; Fungi. The record is from RNAcentral.